GGGUGCAGUCAGCCAACCCAGUGAGCGAGGCUUCAGCCCAGGCAGCCGCAGGCAGUGGCCGACAGGCGAUCCACGGUUCUCCAGGUGGCAGUCACUGGGAGAACCACUCACCUGCCGCCUAGGCGGGGGCCAGUGGGGCAGCACCGAAGGGCUUCCACAUCCGGGCUCCAUCUGUCAAUACCAGGUGCGCCCAUCAGCCCUAGCUGACCUGUUCCCACCCCUCUCCUCCUCUUGAGGCAGCCUGGGACAAUGAGAGAUGAGUUAUCCUCUGGGUAGGUCAUCCCUCCUCUUCCGUGUUUCCAGACGAAGUACAAGGGACUUGGAUGGCUGGACUCAACCCGGGAGGAGAAGUAACUGCAUUGAGAACCUAACUUUGUGUUGGAACUUUGCACCUGUUCCCUCUUUCAGUCCUCACAACUCCAUGAAGUAGCUGGCAUAAUCCUCAUUUUCCACCUGCACAAAUAAGACCCAGGGAAGCUCGGCGACUGCUUCACAUCCCAAGGUCCCUUGCCCCAGGACCUCACUGCUCUGUGCUGCAGGGCUGGAGUUGCCAGGAGCAGCCAGAAAAGGAAGUAGCUGGACACUCUGGGUCCCACAGAGACCUUUAUCUCCAUGGCACAGAGGAGGAAGAUGUGGACUAGAGAGGAUUCAGGGUGUUUGCUGUUGACCUAUCUGAUGUCGGUGAUGCCCCAGCGUCAGCCCGUGUUGCCCACCCAGCGCUGCUGCUCCUUGCUCCUAUGUGAUCUCUGUCUGGACCCAGGGCCGCCAGAGUUCUCUCUUCUCUCCGCAGAUGAGCCCCCGGAUGAUGGGGGCUGAUGGGCCCUCGAACAUGGGGCCUGGGCAUGGCUCCAUGUGGCCACUAGGGGGCAGCAUUGCCAAGCCUGCAGACUCAAAGCGGGGGGUGGGCUUUUGGCUGUGCUCAGAUAGACUCAUGCCUGAGCAACUCCCAGGAGGGCCAACCAGGCCUCCACUUCAACCUGGUCUUUAAGAGCUGGUCCAGGUCUGUCCCCCUCCAGCUUCCUGUGAGUCUGGUAGCCUGGCCCUGCUGCUCUAAGUUUCCCCCAUGAGCCAUGCUUCCUGAGCCCAGCCAGCCUUUCUGAGCCCCACCAAGACUUUGGUGAACCCACCCUGGCUGGCAUUCCCAAACACCCCUCUGGGGCCCUAGAGCCCUCACUACUGGUCUGCCCUUGGGUCCCACCCCACAGCACACAGAACGCCUGCAUACCUGUGGACCAGAUCUCCCCAGGCAGGCCUCCCUGGUGUGCUCCUACUUGAAUCCGGCCUCGAGGGACCAGAUUAGUGACUUCUCAUUGAUGGAGUGCAAGCCGCGGCCAGGCAGCCUCAGUAACCCCCUGCGCUAGGGGGAGCUCAGGAGCUGGUCUCUUGAGGGCAGGUCAGGCCCAGUCUCCCUCCUAGCGGUCUGGGGGCCACUUGGUCCUCCAGUCCUUGCUUCCCCGCUUGCCAGCCAGGUACUCACCACAGGGGUCCUCCUCUGUGGGCUUCUAGGCACCUUUCCUGGGACCAGUGCUGAGCUUUUCUCCGAAGCUUAAAAGGCUCAUGCCCAGGGCUGUGCACCUGGCAGCGCCCCUUUCAGCCAAAAGCGUGGCAUUGGCAGCCAGUCUGCGCCCUGUAGCGGCAGCGGGAGCCUCACAUUAUGGCGGGCUAGCGCAGUCCGACCAACGACAGGGGGACUGAGGGGGCCGGGAGGGGCGGAGAGCUAUGCCUCUGGCCCAGGAGAGGGAGGAUGUGAGAUAGGAGUGGAGGGGAACUCUCCUGCCCGCUCCCCCUAGCCCCAGGGCUGGGACAAGGGUGGGCCAACAGGUCGGCUUACCGCGGUGCAGGGCUCUGGGUCCGGGACGCAGUGAGGGCUGGGGCCCGAGGGACCUGCUGCUGGCAGAGCCCGUGGGCCGUGUCUGGGGGCCGAGCCCAACUCCAUCCCUUAGCAGCCUCAUGCCCGCCGCCAUCCGGUGUCAAAUUCCAGCCCCGGCGUCACCGGAUCCCGGGGUGGGGCCCGGAGCGCCCCCGCCCAGCCCCACCUUUCAGGGCUCACCUGGCCGCUCCACCUGCUGGGAUCCGGUCCCCCCGGGCUAUGCUAGGUCCCCCAAGCUGGGCUGGGGGAGGAGACGCUGGGAAGGGACCCUGGGGAUGCAGAGUGGAGAACCCGGGCGGCGGAGAGGCACGGGAACUGGGAGUUCAGAGUUUGUAGGCACGCAAAGUAGGGAGUUGGGAGGCUGGGCGGAGGGCGGGCAGGGAGGAGACAGGCCGGUCGCUGCCUCUGCUGUGGGGCCCUGAGAUUGGCGUGGGCUCCGGGGUUCCAGCUGGCUAAGCCACCGUGGCUGCUCUCCGAUCCCUGGCCCACCGCAGGCUUCUCUCCGCAGAACCAUGGACUGGUCAGAUUGGUGAAGUGGGGCACUGGGGCUCCGGAGGCCUGACCCUGCUCCAGCCACCCUGCCGCCCGCCGGGCAAACGGUGCGCUCCCUGGGGCCGCGCUGGUAGGAGCGGGAGCCCCGGCGGCAGAGGGGAGGGUCACAGAGGAGAGACGCAUGCACGGAAGCUUUGAGGUACAGUCCCCAAGAUGAAGCAACAUGCUCGAUCAAGGUCACAGAGGUGGCUGGGCCAAGUGUGACACCGGAGUGUCA
Molecule: long non-coding RNA, 2639 nt
Organism: Mustela erminea (ermine)
Lineage: Eukaryota; Metazoa; Chordata; Mammalia; Carnivora; Mustelidae
Exons: 3
Source: RefSeq, a predicted model, not a curated record